AAACAAUUUUGUGUAUCAAAAACUUCAUUACUGAAAGUGUAAUAAUCGUAAAGGAUCGGUGAUAAAUUAAUUGGUUCUUCGCUGUAGCGAAAAUCAUUAUAAAUCAGGAGAUAGGUGUGUUUCUCUAUAUUCAGAGCUUUGCUGACUAUUGCCAUGGUUACGGUAUGAGGUAAUCCUUGCAGUUCGGCGCCGAGAUACACCAGUCAGAGGCGGUGGUGUGAAGUCGAAGCUGCUGCUGGUAUAGCUCGCCUAGCCGACUGUCCUAGGCGAUGCACAAUCGUGUAAGAGCUGCAGCCUUAUCGAUUGGUUUGACCCAGUGACUUCCUCACACACCGACCCGAUGUACGACGUACUACAGUCGAUUCCUUUGUUCGACGGGAGUUCAGCAAAGCUCGUUUCUCAACGUUGAUGUGGGCCCGUAAAUUUGUCAUCUCGCCUGUGAGCAGGCUACUAAUUGUAUUGUCCACGUUAUCCCGGCGCAGAUAUGGAGAACCUGUGACUCGCGUGUUGGGUAACACGCGAGGGCUCUAUAAAUUACACACAUGCAGCGUAAUUUCAUGCGAACAAAAUGUAUUUUAACAUAUCCUGCAUAAAUAAUAAACAUAUAAAAUAAAUUUAUUGGAAUAUGA
Long non-coding RNA from Zootermopsis nevadensis, 629 nucleotides. RefSeq lists it as uncharacterized. Lineage: Eukaryota; Metazoa; Arthropoda; Insecta; Blattodea; Termopsidae. The record is from RefSeq and is a predicted model, not a curated record.